Molecule: long non-coding RNA, 3013 nt
Filed under: Homo sapiens (human)
Lineage: Eukaryota; Metazoa; Chordata; Mammalia; Primates; Hominidae
Description: HSALNT0027284
Source: RNAcentral
CUGUGCCAUGCCCCGCGCUGGCCCUGGGGAGGUGUUUGCUGGAUAAACAGCUGCCCCCCGGGGCCCAGGCCGCAGUGCUCCUUCGCCACCGUGUCUCCAGCAUCACCCCUUCUCCUCUGAGACCUCUUCCCAGGCCACAGUAAGGGAGCCCCAAGCCAAGGAGAGGGCGUGCCCAGCUUAAAGGAAACUGACCUUGGCCCUGCCCUACCCCGCCCCACUCUGGGCCGGGAUACAUCGCUGCCGACCCGGAGCCGGAGCCCAGGACCAGCGGGCACCAGGCCCCUGCGCCGCAGUGGCGGGGUCAGAGCGGCAGGACUGGGUGGCUGGUGACAGGUGGGACUAGCGCGGGACCACUUGCCUCUCGAGCCGAGCCCCGCCCCUGCCCCACAGCUCCAUUUUCUUCUUGUUCCUUUCAGGGCUGCCAGGCUGCCCCAAGCCGGAGUCUGUUCCCCGACGGCCGAGGCUCCCGCUGGCUGGCAGCUCCCCAGGCGUGUGGGUUUGAUUCCCAACGGCGCCCAGCCCAGGGCAAGGCGGCUGGGGGAAGGCCACGCCACGGAUGAACCCAAGGCCGAACUCCUGUUUUUCUAAAUACCUUUUCCGGGGCCCACGAGGUCCCUCUCAGAAGCCUGAAGGUCCUGUGGGUUCUGUCUCCUCUUGGGGGGCUGUGAUCCUAACUGGACCCCCGUUUUGGGUCCCUGCUCAUGCGCACCCCUGAUCUCAAGAGGCAGAUAGAAGAUCUAAUGACGUACCUGCCUAAGCCCGGCAAGGAGGGGAGGGUUCCAUUCGGAGUCCAGUGCCCCGCCCUGAGAAACGGGCGCUCAGGAGGGCGCCCCUCAGGCAGUGGUGGGGAGGCGCGCCCCCUUCUCCACUAGGGCGUGACCUGGCACGGGGUGGGGAGGGAGUCAGGCCUGGGUGCCACAAAUACAGUGCGUUUAAGUCUUGUUCAGGGACCCAGGGAGAAACUCCUUCAUUUCUCUAGACACCAGGGGCCCUGAAGGAGGCCGCUGGCAAGGAAACAUGGACCCGGCUCCAGCCCAGCUACUGGAAGACCUUUCUGGAAUCGGGAGAAGACGCACCUCGGACUUGGGAGCUGAUCCUUCUUUCAAUUCCUGAUUCUGCCACCUCUUGCUAAGGAUUUCAGGCUAGUUACUUAACUUCUCUUAAACCAGCAUUAUCAAUCUGUAUAAUGUGGUAGUGAUACCACAUUGCAGGGUUGAUGGGAGGGUUAAAUUAGACGUUUAAAGUUUUAAACAGUGUCUGUACGUGGAAACCCUUGAUAAAUGGGAGCUAAUGUUUUGCUAGCUCAAUGCUGGUUCCCACGCGGGAGGCCAGUCUACCCAAGCAGAAAAUGCCUGGGGCUGUAUUAAUUAAGGCCUAAGGUUCAGAGUAAGGGAGGUGACAGUCUUGCCCUACUAGGGGUUCAUCGUGGCCUGACUAGAUGAACUGUCUUGGGACUAACACCUCAUACUGCCACCCUUCCCUCCACACUCCAGGGCUUCCUUCCUUCGAGUCUAAACAUUUUCCUGUCUCAGGAGUUGUUCCCAUUACCCUGUAUUUACUCAGUGAGCAUGGGACACCAUGCAGUGAGUGUCAGGACAGCUGGUGGAUGGGACCAUGGAGCCACCGGAGCCAUUUUCCAGAGUUUCUGUUGAGUCCACCCACAUAAGCCUUGCUUAUGCAGGUACAUGAUUAGAUCUUCUAUCUGUCUAUAGGAUAAGGGACACUUGUAUGCAACUCCCAAGGAACUUUAACAACUUGGAGUGCCCGUGCAGGAUGGCAAAGGGUCUGGGAUCCCCUGGGGCAAGGAGAAGGCAGGACAAGAGAGAAGCUUGCAGAAGGAGGUGGUUGGAGGAAGAGGAAGCAGGCCCAGGGCCAGUACUGCAAAUUACCAGGGAAGGACAGGUGGAGACACUUUCUUUCUUUUUUUUUUUUUUUUUGAGACAGAGUCUCUGUCACCCAGGCUACAGUGCAGUGGCACCGUCUCGGCUCACUGCAACCUCCGACUUCUGGGUUUACGCCAUUCUCCUGCCUCAGCCUCCUGAGUAGCUGGGACUACAGGCGCCCACCACCAUGCCCGGCUAAUUUUUUAUAUUUUUAGUAGAGACGGGGUUUCACCGUGUUAGCCAGAAUGGUCUCGAUUUCCUGACCUCAUGAUCCACCCGCUUUGGCCUCCCAAAGUGCUGUGAUUACAGGCGUGAGCCACCGCACCCAGCCGAGACACUUUCUAACAACCCGCCCUGAAAGAUCCUGAUCCCGGACAAAGGAAGAGACUGAGGAGGCCUCCUGCUGGGUGGGUGGCAUGGACGACAGUUUUGGGUUCACUUCUGGGUUCUUUCCUCCUCUGAUAGGCUGGGCUUCUUGGCACAGGGACACCAUCUUUGGGGUUCAAUUCCCUGCCUUCCCAGAGAGCACUGGACUCCUGGACAAAUCAUACUGGCUUCUGUGAGCUCCUUGUAGGGCAGGGUCCACUAGGAUCCCCAUAUCUACCUCCUCCAUAUCUGAGCAGAGGUGGUUAUAAUGGUUAAUUUUAUGUGUCAACAUGACUGGGCCAGGGGGUACCCAGACAUUUGGGCAAACCGAUUAUUUUGGGUGUGCCUGUGAGGGUGCUUUUGGAUGAAUUUGACAUUGGAACUGGUGACCAAUGGGGGAACCAGGUGGGGUAAAGCAGAUCCCCCUCCCCAAUGUGGGGGUCCUCAUCCACUCAGCUGAAGGCCUGAAUAGGACAAAAGCCUGAGAAUUUGUUCUUUGCCUCACAGUCUUGAGCUGGGACAUUGGCCUCCUCCUCCCUUAAGAUUCAGACUGGAACUACACCAUUAGCUCUCCUGGGUCCCCAGCUUGCUGACCUCUGUCUACAGGGGACAGGGCUGCUUGUCUCCUUGGGACCUCUCAGCCUCCAUAAUCACGUAUAAGCCAAUUCCUUAUGAUAAAUACAUCUAUCUAACCAUCCAUUCGCCUACCCAUUCAUCCAUCCAUCCAUCCAUCCAUCCAUCCAUCCAUCCACCCACCCGCCCAC